UUGUUGCGUUAGGGAUAGAGGCGAUAUCCUCGAAGAGAUAAAGCCGAUAGCCCGACCUGAA
RNAcentral lists this small RNA (61 nucleotides) under Flavobacterium sp. 102. Its description in RNAcentral is "Flavo-1 RNA". The record is from RNAcentral. Lineage: Bacteria; Pseudomonadati; Bacteroidota; Flavobacteriia; Flavobacteriales; Flavobacteriaceae.